UGGAUCCAGACUUUGAUUAUGGCUCAGGAUGAACGCUAGCGACAGGCCUAACACAUGCGAGUCGAGGGGCAGCGGAGAGGUAGCAAUACCUUUGCCGGCGACCGGCGCACGGGUGAGUAACACGUAUGCAAUCCACCUGUAACAGGGGGAUAACCCGGAGAAAUCCGGACUAAUACCCCAUAAUAUGGGCUCUCCGCAUGGAGGGUCCAUUAAAGAGAGCAAUUUUGGUUACAGACGAGCAUGCGCUCCAUUAGCCAGUUGGCGGGGUAACGGCCCACCAAAGCGACGAUGGAUAGGGGUUCUGAGAGGAAGGUCCCCCACAUUGGAACUGAGACACGGUCCAAACUCCUACGGGAGGCAGCAGUGAGGAAUAUUGGUCAAUGGUCGGCAGACUGAACCAGCCAAGUCGCGUGAGGGAAGACGGCCCUACGGGUUGUAAACCUCUUUUGUCGGAGAGUAAAGUACGCUACGUGUAGCGUAUUGCAAGUAUCCGAAGAAAAAGCAUCGGCUAACUCCGUGCCAGCAGCCGCGGUAAUACGGAGGAUGCGAGCGUUAUCCGGAUUUAUUGGGUUUAAAGGGUGCGUAGGCGGCACGCCAAGUCAGCGGUGAAAUUUUCGGGCUCAACCCGGACUGUGCCGUUGAAACUGGCGAGCUAGAGUGCACAAGAGGCAGGCGGAAUGCGUGGUGUAGCGGUGAAAUGCAUAGAUAUCACGCAGAACCCCGAUUGCGAAGGCAGCCUGCUAGGGUGCGACAAACGCUGAGGCACGAAAGCGUGGGUAUCGAACAGGAUUAGAUACCCUGGUAGUCCACGCAGUAAACGAUGAAUACUAACUGUUUGCGAUACAAUGUAAGCGGUACAGCGAAAGCGUUAAGUAUUCCACCUGGGGAGUACGCCGGCAACGGUGCAACUCAAAUGAAUUGACGGA
RNAcentral lists this ribosomal RNA (926 nucleotides) under uncultured Bacteroidota bacterium. RNAcentral's name for it is "bacterial SSU rRNA". It matches the Rfam family "Bacterial small subunit ribosomal RNA", at positions 1 to 917 of the family's 1533-position model. The record is from RNAcentral. Lineage: Bacteria; Pseudomonadati; Bacteroidota.